This 231-nucleotide ribosomal RNA is filed under the name uncultured bacterium. RNAcentral describes it as "partial 16S ribosomal RNA". It matches the Rfam family "Bacterial small subunit ribosomal RNA", at positions 15 to 229 of the family's 1533-position model. The record is from RNAcentral.
GAUAAUGGCUCAGGACGAGCGCUGGCGGCGUGCCUAACACAUGCAAGUCGAACGGAGAAUUUUAUUUCGGUAGAAUUCUUAGUGGCGAACGGGUGAGUAACGCGUAGGCAACCUGCCCUUUAGACGGGGACAACAUUCCGAAAGGAGUGCUAAUACCGGAUGUGAUCAUCGUGCCGCGUGGCAGGAUGAAGAAAGAUGGCCUCUACAAGUAAGCUAUCGCUAAAGGAUGGG